ACCCCAGUAAAGAAUUGAGAAAGAGAAACUUGAUUAUUUAUUUGAAAUGAGGGCGAAAUAACAGUCUGAACAAAUAACAAUAGCUAAAUUUGUUCACUCCUUAGACUUCAGCUAUCAAGCUAAACUGACAUGUGAUGACUUGACGUGUUUUUAUGUCUUUAGAAUGUUUACUUUAGCUUUAUAUAAACUUUAAAACAUAUAUCAAUGCGCUUUGAAAUGUGCUUUGAAACUAUUUUUUUUUUAACUUUUU
Molecule: long non-coding RNA, 250 nt
Filed under: Mytilus galloprovincialis (Mediterranean mussel)
Lineage: Eukaryota; Metazoa; Mollusca; Bivalvia; Mytilida; Mytilidae
Source: RNAcentral